UACAGAGGUCUCGAGCGUUGUUCGGAUUCAUUGGGCGUAAAGGGCGCGUAGGCUGCGGGGCAAGUCGGGUGUGAAAUCUCAGAGCUCAACUCUGAAACUGCACUCGAUACUGCUUUGCUUGAGGACUGGAGAGGAGAUUGGAAUUCACGGUGUAGCAGUGAAAUGCGUAGAUAUCGUGAGGAAGACCAGUGGCGAAGGCGGAUCUCUGGACAGUUCCUGACGCUGAGGCGCGAAGGCCAGGGGAGCAAACGGG
Molecule: ribosomal RNA, 253 nt
Filed under: uncultured bacterium
Lineage: Bacteria
Also listed under: 1 other name
Description: partial 16S ribosomal RNA
Rfam family: Bacterial small subunit ribosomal RNA
Source: RNAcentral